RNAcentral lists this non-coding RNA (28 nucleotides) under Bombyx mori (domestic silkworm). The record is from RNAcentral. Lineage: Eukaryota; Metazoa; Arthropoda; Insecta; Lepidoptera; Bombycidae.
UAGACUAAAUACGUCGGUGAAAUGUCUA